AGAAUCAACGCUGGCGGCGUGCCUAACACAUGCAAGUCGCACGAGAAAGGGGAACAAUCCCUGAGUACAGUGGCGCACGGGUGAGUAACACGUGAAUAAUCUACCUCCGAGUGGGGAAUAACUGAGAGAAAUCUUAGCUAAUACCGCAUAAUACCCACGGGUCAAAGCAGCAAUGCGCUUGGAGAGGAGUUCGCGGCAGAUUAGUUAGUUGGCGGGGUAAUGGCCCACCAAGACGAUGAUCUGUA
This 245-nucleotide ribosomal RNA is filed under the name uncultured bacterium. Its description in RNAcentral is "partial small subunit ribosomal RNA". It matches the Rfam family "Bacterial small subunit ribosomal RNA", at positions 26 to 285 of the family's 1533-position model. The record is from RNAcentral.